CGCCGACCAUCGCCCCCUGGCGGCCUCUCUCUGAGCGCGCUCCCGUGGGGCCGUGGGAAACAGCGUUCGUUCGUGCGAAAUGGAGUUACCUUCGUUUCUCUUCCCACCAAGAACCAAACCUGCCACAUAGUAGGCCUCAGUAUCUGUUGACCUGAAGAGGCACCAGACUGUGGUGGUGACAGCAAAGACUCUGAAGCCAGGACCUGGAUUUGAACACAGCUGUGCAACAUACUAACUAUGUGACCUUGGACAGGUGUUUCUCCAACAGAAAAGUGAACAGAAGUGCAUCAAAUGGUAUGUACUGAGGGGAGGGAAUAGCUCAGUGGUAGAGCAUGUGCUUAGCAUGUAUGAUGUCCUGGGUUCAAUCCCCAGUACCUCCAUCAAAAAAAUAAAUAAAUAAAACCUCCCUCCACACAAAAAAGGUAUGUACUAAAUUGCUUAUAGCAGAAUUAUUUCUAA
Non-coding RNA from Vicugna pacos (alpaca), 459 nucleotides. The record is from RefSeq and is a predicted model, not a curated record. Lineage: Eukaryota; Metazoa; Chordata; Mammalia; Artiodactyla; Camelidae.